Molecule: ribosomal RNA, 225 nt
Filed under: uncultured bacterium
Lineage: Bacteria
Description: partial 16S ribosomal RNA
Rfam family: Bacterial small subunit ribosomal RNA
Source: RNAcentral
GAUGAACGCUAGCGGCAGGCUUAAUACAUGCAAGUCGAGGGGCAGCACGAAUAGCAAUAUUUGGUGGCGACCGGCAAACGGGUGCGGAACACGUACGCAACCUUCCUUUAAGUGGAGAAUAGCCCGGGAAACCCGGAUUAAUACUCCGUAAACAUUAUAAAGUGGCAUCACUUAGUAAUUAUAGAUUUAUCGCUUAAAGAUGGGCGUGCGCCUGAUUAGGUAGUU